AAAUGGAAUGAUCAAUUGAGGGGGAGAAAGAAAAUUUCAGAAGGAGAGGUCUUAUGGAACUUAAUCGCAUAAAUCUAUAACUAAAGGAGAGAGGAAGAAUACUAAAUGAAAAGUGAUCUUAAUGCUCUCCAAUAUGUAUCAUCUGAAAUUUAAAUCUGAAAAUCUUUAUGAUACACCUUGAGGAUUGUUAUUUGGUUAAUAUUUCUUAUGCAUACAUUAUGAACCAAAUUGCAAGUCAAACAGUUGAUCUUAAGAGCCUCUAACUUAAUGAAAAAGGGGGAGAAUAACGUGUUGAAUUUUCUUGAGUAUCUCUUAGAAAAUCUAUUUUGAAAUUCACUAAUGAGAUCUAAUUGGCUUGCUCUUUAGAACUUCAAUUUUGUGCCAAUUCAUAUUUUUUAUGUAUCAAAUUGUGCUUAUUUUUGUUUGGGAAUAAAAGAAAAUCUUUAAAAGAACUCUAAAUGAUCUUUCAAAGCUUUGCAUUUUAUGUAUGCUCUAAGAUAUAUCAUAAAUUUCAUGAAUUCAU
This 523-nucleotide long non-coding RNA is filed under the name Phoenix dactylifera (date palm). RNAcentral's name for it is "long non-coding RNA (PDAC_LNC009169)". The record is from RNAcentral. Lineage: Eukaryota; Viridiplantae; Streptophyta; Magnoliopsida; Arecales; Arecaceae.